RNAcentral lists this ribosomal RNA (482 nucleotides) under uncultured bacterium. Its description in RNAcentral is "partial 16S ribosomal RNA". It matches the Rfam family "Bacterial small subunit ribosomal RNA", at positions 29 to 507 of the family's 1533-position model. The record is from RNAcentral.
AUUGAACGCUGGCGGCAUGCUUUACACAUGCAAGUCGAACGGUAACAGGCCGCAAGGUGCUGACGAGUGGCGAACGGGCGGGUAAUGCACCGGAACGUGCCCAGCCGUGGGGGAUAACUACACGAAAGAGUAGCUAAUACCGCAUACGACCUAUGGAUGAAAGCGGGGGACCGUAAGGCCUCGCGCGAUUGGAGCGGCCGAUGUCAGAUUAGGUAGUUGGUGGGGUAAAGGUUCACCAAGCCCACGAUCUGUAGCUGGUCUGAGAGGACAACCGGCCACACUGGGACUGGAACACGGCCCAGACUCCUGCGGGAGGCAGCAGUGGGGAAUUUUGGACAAUGGGCGCAAGCCCGAUCCAGCAAUGCCGCGUGCAGGAAGAAGGCCUUCGGGUUGUAAACUGCUUUUGUACGGAACGAAACGGCUCUGGUUAAUACCCGGGGCUAAUGACGGUACCGUAAGAAUAAGCACCGGCUAACUACGUG